CAGAAAGUGAGAAUAACUACAAUGUAAGAACAUGUAUCAUCUCUGUCUAACCGCACAACUUCCUCAUUGUCAGUCGCCGGAAAAUAAGGUGCAUUGUGAAAAACAUUAUUCCUCUCAGGAAACGGCAACGGAGGCCGCCGAUCAUCAUCGUCAAUCACUGGUACCUCCUCCUCGUGUCGCGAUAUCGAUACAUCACCGGUAAAUUGCUCAUCCCUAAUCUCCGACGAAAAUGACUGAUUCCAAUCUGAUUCCUCCAUUCUGAAGAAGAUGUAAAAAUUGUGAUUUUGGAGAAAAUUGUGGAAAGAAAUAAAUUUAAAAUUUUAAAGUGAUG
This 331-nucleotide unclassified non-coding RNA is filed under the name Hevea brasiliensis (rubber tree). The record is from RNAcentral. Lineage: Eukaryota; Viridiplantae; Streptophyta; Magnoliopsida; Malpighiales; Euphorbiaceae.